RNAcentral lists this long non-coding RNA (372 nucleotides) under Sorghum bicolor (sorghum). RNAcentral's name for it is "long non-coding RNA (SBIC_LNC007706)". The record is from RNAcentral. Lineage: Eukaryota; Viridiplantae; Streptophyta; Magnoliopsida; Poales; Poaceae.
GCCUAGUAUCCAAAGAGAAAUUUAAUAUGUAGUUUUUAAUUAUUUGAAAAAACCAAAUCCAGAAUAUCAAUAUGUUAUUCUUGGAUCUAGAGCACCAUUAGAAAAGGCUUGGUAGUCGUCAUCUUCCUCAUUUGUUAGUUUUUUUUCUUUUUUAUCAUAUAACAAACAAAAUAAUGCAUGUUCAGAUUUUUAUUAUUUUCCUUUUAUAAUUGCUAAUACAUAUACGAGGCUAGACUUAAAGCUUAUAUAGUACUAUGUAGCUAACCGUGCGUUGCUACGAAGAGAAUAAGUAAAAUUAAAUAGUAAAAUUAAAGUGAUAUUUUAGACCCCGUUACAGAUCUAAAAAGCAAAGUUUGUGAAAUUAACACAAUC